RNAcentral lists this small RNA (107 nucleotides) under Bacillus altitudinis. RNAcentral's name for it is "yybP-ykoY". It matches the Rfam family "Manganese Mn2+ riboswitch aptamer (yybP-ykoY)". From Rfam's summary of the family: This RNA was originally discovered in E. coli during a large scale screen and was named SraF. The family was later found to exist upstream of related families of protein genes in many bacteria, including the the yybP and ykoK genes in B. subtilis. The specific functions of these proteins are unknown, but this structured RNA element may be involved in their genetic regulation as a riboswitch. Lineage: Bacteria; Bacillati; Bacillota; Bacilli; Caryophanales; Bacillaceae. The record is from RNAcentral. RNAcentral also lists the same sequence under 1 other name.
AAUCCCACCAAAGGGGAGUAGCGUCCGGUUUUUACCGGAAACAAAGUCGUCAUUACAUGGAACAUCAUUCCAUCGGCUUUGUUGGCAUGAUUUACAUAUCACAUGUC